RNAcentral lists this transfer RNA (66 nucleotides) under Ochthebius lejolisii. RNAcentral's name for it is "tRNA-Asp". The record is from RNAcentral. Lineage: Eukaryota; Metazoa; Arthropoda; Insecta; Coleoptera; Hydraenidae.
AAGAAAUUAGUUAAAUUAUAACAUUAGAUUGUCAAACUAAAAUUAUUAAAUAAUUAAUAUUUCUUA